UACGUAGGGGGCAAGCGUUAUCCGGAUUCACUGGGUGUAAAGGGAGCGUAGACGGCCAUGCAAGCCUGGAGUGAAAGCCCGGGGCCCAACCCCGGGACUGCUCUGGGAACUGUGUGGCUGGAGUGCGGGAGGGGCAGGCGGAAUUCCUGGUGUAGCGGUGAAAUGCGUAGAUAUCAGGAGGAACACCGGCGGCGAAGGCGGCCUGCUGGACCGCGACUGACGUUGAGGCUCGAAAGCGUGGGGAGCAAACAGG
Molecule: ribosomal RNA, 253 nt
Filed under: uncultured bacterium
Lineage: Bacteria
Description: partial 16S ribosomal RNA
Rfam family: Bacterial small subunit ribosomal RNA
Source: RNAcentral